Molecule: transfer RNA, 73 nt
Rfam family: tRNA
About the family: Transfer RNA (tRNA) molecules are approximately 80 nucleotides in length.
Source: Rfam
GGGCGAUUAGCUCAGCCGGGAGAGCGCCUGCCUUACAAGCAGGAUGUCGGCGGUUCGAUCCCGUCAUCGCCCA